RNAcentral lists this ribosomal RNA (443 nucleotides) under uncultured bacterium. RNAcentral's name for it is "partial 16S ribosomal RNA". It matches the Rfam family "Bacterial small subunit ribosomal RNA", at positions 338 to 795 of the family's 1533-position model. The record is from RNAcentral.
CCUACGGGUGGCAGCAGUGGGGAAUAUUGGGCAAUGGGCGCAAGCCUGAUCCAGCAACGCCGCGUGAAGGAAGAAGGCCUUCGGGUUGUAAACUACUUUUAUCAAGGACGAAACAAAUGACGGUACUUGAUGAAUAAGCCACGGCUAACUUCGUGCCAGCCGCCGCGGUACUACGUAGGGGGCAAGCGUUAUCCGGAUUUACUGGGUGGAAAGGGCGUGUAGGCGGGUCUGCAAGUCAGAUGUGAAAACCAUGGGCUCAACCCAUGGCCUGCAUUUGAUACUGUAGUUCUUGAGUGUUGGAGAGGCAGGCGGAAUUCCGAGUGUAGCGGUGAAAUGCGUAGAUAUACGGAGGAACACCAGUGGCGAAGGCGGCCUGCUGGACAAUAACUGACGCUGAGGCGCGAAAGCGUGGGGAGCAAACAGGAUUAGAUACCCGGGUAGUC